RNAcentral lists this ribosomal RNA (264 nucleotides) under uncultured bacterium. RNAcentral describes it as "partial 16S ribosomal RNA". It matches the Rfam family "Bacterial small subunit ribosomal RNA", at positions 793 to 1055 of the family's 1533-position model. The record is from RNAcentral.
GUCCUAGCCGUAAACGGUGCACGUUUGCUGUAAAGGAAUCGACCCCUUUGUGGCGUAGCUAACGCGUUAAACGUGCCGCCUGGGAAGUACGGUCGCAAGAUUAAAACUCAAAGAAAUUGACGGGGCCUGCACAAGCGGUGGAGUAUGUGGCUCAAUUCGAUGCAACGCGAAGAACCUUACCUGGCCUUGACAUGCAUAUAGUAGAAGGGUGAAAGCCUGACGAGGUAGCAAUACCAGUAUGCACAGGUGCUGCAUGGCUGUCGU